Molecule: ribosomal RNA, 259 nt
Filed under: uncultured prokaryote
Description: partial 16S ribosomal RNA
Rfam family: Bacterial small subunit ribosomal RNA
Source: RNAcentral
UACGUAGGUGGCAAGCGUUAUCCGGAAUUAUUGGGCGUAAAGAGCGCGCAGGUGGUUGAUUAAGUCUGAUGUGAAAGCCCACGGCUUAACCGUGGAGGGUCAUUGGAAACUGGUCGACUUGAGUGCAGAAGAGGGAAGUGGAAUUCCAUGUGUAGCGGUGAAAUGCGUAGAGAUAUGGAGGAACACCAGUGGCGAAGGCGGCUCUCUGGUCUGUAACUGACGCUGAGGUGCGAAAGCGUGGGGAUCAAACAGGAUUAGA